RNAcentral lists this transfer RNA (71 nucleotides) under Marmota monax (woodchuck). RNAcentral describes it as "tRNA.Ala". The record is from RNAcentral. Lineage: Eukaryota; Metazoa; Chordata; Mammalia; Rodentia; Sciuridae.
GGGGCUGUAGCUCAGUGGCUGAGUGCUUGUCUGGCAUGUAUGAGGCACUAGGUUUGAUCCUUAGCACCACA